CCGUGAUAAGGGGACACCGAGUGCCAGCAUCAUAUGCUGGCUGUCCGGGUGUGUAAAAUACACCUGUCAGCAAGGGCCGGGCAAGACCGGUGCCAGCCGCCGCGGUAACACCGGCGGCCCGAGUGGUGAUCGUGAUUAUUGGGUCUAAAGGGUCCGUAGCCGGUUUGGUCAGUCCUCCGGGAAAUCUGACGGCUCAACCGUUAGGCUUUCGGGGGAUACUGCCAGGCUUGGAACCGGGAGAGGUAAGAGGUACUACAGGGGUAGGAGUGAAAUCUUGUAAUCCCUGUGGGACCACCUGUGGCGAAGGCGUCUUACCAGAACGGGUUCGACGGUGAGGGACGAAAGCUGGGGGCACGAACCGGAUUAGAUACCCGGGUAGUCCCAGCCGUAAACGAUGCUCGCUAGGUGUCAGGCAUGGCGCGACCGUGUCUGGUGCCGCAGGGAAGCCGUGAAGCGAGCCACCUGGGAAGUACGGCCGCAAGGCUGAAACUUAAAGGAAUUGGCGGGGGAGCAC
Molecule: ribosomal RNA, 514 nt
Filed under: uncultured archaeon
Lineage: Archaea
Description: bacterial SSU rRNA
Rfam family: Archaeal small subunit ribosomal RNA
Source: RNAcentral